UCACCUCGUGGAUAAGGACUCUGAAAUUCAGAGCGAAUAAAUGAGAAUGGUGAUGAUCUGGCAUGAUGCUCCAGCUCUAUCUGAACAAAGUGGCUCCUUUCACUUCAGCAACCCAAGAUUGUGGAAGGUACUCAACGGGACACUGAAACUUUUCAAGAUGUGAUGGUGAU
This 170-nucleotide long non-coding RNA is filed under the name Felis catus (domestic cat). Its description in RNAcentral is "lncRNA (ENSFCAG00000042067.2)". The record is from RNAcentral. Lineage: Eukaryota; Metazoa; Chordata; Mammalia; Carnivora; Felidae.